UAGCGUAUAUUAAAGUUGUUGCGGUUAAAAAGCUCGUAGUUGGAUUUCUGUUGAGGACAGCCGGUCCGCACCAUGUGCGUGUAUCUGGUUUGGCCUCGGCAUCCUCUCGGAAAACGUCUCUGCGCUUAAUUGCGUGGAGCGGGGUCCGAGACUUUUACUUUGAGGAAAUUAGAGUGUUCACGGCAGGCAUCCCGCCAUGAAUAUAUUAGCAUGGAAUAAUAAUAUAGGAUCUUGGUUCUAUUUUGUUGGUUUCUAGGGCUAAGAUAAUGAUUAAUAGGGACAAUUGGGGGCAUUUGUAUUAAGGCGUC
RNAcentral lists this ribosomal RNA (308 nucleotides) under Amoebophrya sp. RNAcentral describes it as "SSU rRNA". It matches the Rfam family "Eukaryotic small subunit ribosomal RNA", at positions 595 to 906 of the family's 1831-position model. Lineage: Eukaryota; Dinophyceae; Syndiniales; Amoebophryaceae. The record is from RNAcentral.